This 303-nucleotide ribosomal RNA is filed under the name Triticum aestivum (bread wheat). RNAcentral describes it as "partial small subunit ribosomal RNA". The record is from RNAcentral. Lineage: Eukaryota; Viridiplantae; Streptophyta; Magnoliopsida; Poales; Poaceae.
AUGCUCUGGCCCGACAUCGCUUCGAAGAGGUCUGAACGGUUGAUGGAAAACUUCCGGGAGGGUAACCUCACGCCACUCAAGAUUGGAUGGAGACUGAUUCAGAAUCCGGAGAGUCUAUGUGCCCGUGUGCUUAAGUCUAAAUAUUACCCAAAUGGCAGCCUCUUGAACACCGUCUUCGCUUCUGAUGCAUCGCCGGUGUGGCGAGGUAUUGAGGCGGGGCUGGAGCUGCUGAAAAAAAGGAAUCAUAUGGAGAGUGGGGAAUGGAAGAGACAUUCAGAUCCAUCGGGAUCAGUGGCUCCCUAG